AUUGAACGCUGGCGGCAUGCCUUACACAUGCAAGUCGAACGGCAGCACGGGAGCAAUCCUGGUGGCGAGUGGCGAACGGGUGAGCAAUAUAUCGGAACGUGCCCAGUCGUGGGGGAUAACGUAGCGAAAGCUACGCUAAUACCGCAUACGAUCUAUGGAUGAAAGCGGGGGAUCGCAAGACCUCGCGCGAUUGGAGCGGCCGAUAUCAGAUUAGGUAGUUGGUGGGGUAAAGGCUCACCAAGCCGAGGAUCUGUAGCUGGUCUGAGAGGACGACCAGCCACACUGGGGCUGAGACACGGCCCAAACGCCUACGGGAGGCAGCAGUGGGGAAUUUUGGACAAUGGGCGCAAGCCUGAUCCAGCAAUGCUGCGUGCAGGAUGAAGGCCUUCGGGUUGUAAACUGCUUUUGUACGGAGCGAAAAGGCUCUCUCUAAUACAGGGGGCUCAUGACGGUACCGUAAGAAUAAGCACCGGCUAACUACGUGCCAGCCGCCGCAGUAA
Molecule: ribosomal RNA, 500 nt
Filed under: uncultured bacterium
Lineage: Bacteria
Description: partial 16S ribosomal RNA
Rfam family: Bacterial small subunit ribosomal RNA
Source: RNAcentral